GCAUUCUUUUAAAGUAAUCUCUACACCCAAUGUGGGGCUCGAACUCACGACCCUGAGAUCAAGAUUAUCAGUUGCUCUACCAACUGAGAGCCAGCCAGUUGUUCCUGUCCGUAGAUUCUGGUCAGCCCCUAGCUCUGAGUUCAUGAUAGGACUCUCCAUUCCCAGCCGCAGAGGCUGUAGGAAGGCAGGGCCUGGCCUUGGCUUCCUUCCUGACAUUGUCACCCUACCUGCCCCUAACCCUGGCUUAGGACUGCUGAAAGGGCGGCCUGGGUGAGACGCAUGGUUGGCUGGAGGAUGACAGGCAGCCCCACUGUUUGCUCAGAAGGGUGGACCAGCGAGGUGGAUCAAGAAUCAGGCGAGCCUCUCUGGACCCCACCUGGGCCCCUAGGCAUGUCACCUACACACAGGAGGGAAGAUAGCAGCCCCGCCCCACUGCUCUGCUCCUUGGCCCCCACCGGUCUUCCUUCUGGCCCCAGAAGCCCUCCUGAGCUCCCCUGCACCUGCCAUAUCCUUGAAGCCCCCUCCUCCUCCUCCUGCCCCCCUGCCUUUGUGCAGUCAGUCCUGAGAGCUGCAGGUGAAACACCUUCCGGGUACCGAGUGAAGACACUACCUUUAGGAACACCCACGCUCACUCACCCAUCAGCCAUCCAUACCCAGUGCCACCUCCUCCAGGAAGCCUCUCCCAAAUGUUCCCGCCCUCUGUAAGGAGCUCUCUCUCCUCAGGUCAGCCAUCUUGGCCUCCAGUCCCGUGGUGGGUCUGGCUUCCUAAGGCAAAGGCUAGUCUCUGGUCUUCUGCUUGUGCCCUGCAGCACUUAGCACAGAGGAUGCUCAACUGCCCAGCCCGCAUUUGGUCACGUGAGGGCCAUGACCCCUCUGUACCCCAUCCUCUGGUGGGUUCCCCUCAGAUUUGGGAGGGGCCGCACAGCAUCUUCUCCACCUCAUCUGGGGUUGGCAGUUGGGUGUCCAGCUCUUGGCCUGGGGGGGAUGCUCGUGCCGUGGCUGGGCAGCCCUGCCCCUUAGGAAGCAAGUCCUUUCAUCGGGCUGAGAGUUGUCUGCAGCCUUCACCCCGGGGCUGGCUCAGCUGAGAAGCCCACGCAGGUGCCUCCGGCCCCAUGGCUGCUCUGCAGCUCCCACAGAGGGCAGUGCUCACCGACCGCCCACGAGGUCUCCUUGGCUGCUUUGAGGGGACAGAAGUGAGCUGCCCAGGGAAUGGUCCCCAUGGGAAGUUGGGCCCCGGUCCUGGUCUCUCUCCUUCCUCCUGCCAUCUGCCCCUCCUACUUCUGUCCCCUGAUGUGCCUCAGUCUGGGCUCCUUCCCUAGCUCCAGCCUCACCUCUGGCAGAUCACUGGCCCCUGAAAUGCUUUCCAGCUCCGAGGAAGGCUCCAGGAGGCUGAUGGACCUCAUGACCCCUCGGAGGUUGAUACGAGGCCGUGGCCCAGGCUCCUCUUUCAGGGCUGACUGGCUCUCCUCCAAACCCAUAGCCUUCACCUCCCCA
Leopardus geoffroyi (Geoffroy's cat) is the source of this 1494-nucleotide long non-coding RNA. RefSeq lists it as uncharacterized. NCBI's taxonomy places the organism in Eukaryota, Metazoa, Chordata, Mammalia, Carnivora, Felidae. The record is from RefSeq and is a predicted model, not a curated record. The transcript has 2 exons.